GAGGAAGGGUGGAGCACUUUUGAAAACGAAAGUGCUUUUAUCUGGGGCCUGCGAAGGGCAAAGCUUUAGCCACCUCUUUACAAAUUCAGGACCAAUUAAGAUUUCAGACUCCUUUUUUCCCCACAAAAAGAUUGGAUAUAAUCCAUCAUUGUUGAGAUGAAUAACACUGUGAAAGAAGAUAUUUACAAUGCAUUGAAUGAACUCAUUGAACAGCAAUUUAAAGAAUUUAAAUGGAGGCUCAAUUUUAUUAAUUAUGAUGGAAGGCCAAACAUUCGUGGAGCUGCACUAGAGAAAGCUGGUCGAACAGAAAUUGUAGAUCUUCUGAUUCAACAUUAUGGAGAAGAUGCUCGAAAUGUGUGCACUGAUGUCCUUCGAAGAUGCAAUAGAAAUGAUAUUGCCACAAACCUUGAAGCUCGAUAAAAUGUUGCAGAUGUUGAUGUUCACCAAUUUGCAGAAUCAUCAGGUUGAAUGGAAAAUAUAUUAUACAGAAGGAUGAAUGGAUGGACAUGGAUUAUACGCCUAGAACCUCCAGUAUACAUGCUAUUUUUUCAUGCUUGCUUGUUUGAUCUACAUUUAUUUCCAUUUAGAAUAUGGUUAGGCAGAAUUGGAAUUUAAUAUAUUUCAAAUGAAAGUCUGAAGAACAUUCCUCCAGCAGUAUAAUCUGAAAUGAAGCCUUUUCUCCCUUUUCAGCUAAAAAUGCUAAAAGAAUGACAGCACACAAACCUUUUAAUGAAAAUGUGGACAAUAAAACAUAAUUUACUGAUCUUUUGAAUCUCCAAAAGCAAAAGAUUCAAAAUCCAAAGGAAAAACCAGUGAUAUUUGGUAGAAAACAUCGAUAGCUAAGCAACCAAUCAGAUAAUUAUAAUAUUAUUAUUA
This is a long non-coding RNA of Thamnophis elegans (Western terrestrial garter snake), 876 nucleotides long. RefSeq lists it as uncharacterized. The record is from RefSeq and is a predicted model, not a curated record. The transcript has 4 exons. Lineage: Eukaryota; Metazoa; Chordata; Lepidosauria; Squamata; Natricidae.